Rosa chinensis is the source of this 272-nucleotide long non-coding RNA. RefSeq lists it as uncharacterized. The record is from RefSeq and is a predicted model, not a curated record. The transcript is spliced from 3 exons. NCBI's taxonomy places the organism in Eukaryota, Viridiplantae, Streptophyta, Magnoliopsida, Rosales, Rosaceae.
AGCAAGCUCAUCUAUGCGUGCUUCAAAACACUGAUGAAUUUAGAAGCUACUUUUUGGAACACAUGGAGCAUUUGAAGAGGGAGUUUCCCAAGUACAAAAAGAAUAAAAAAUGGCUGCUGGACAAACAAAACAUGACUUUUGGCCAGUGGGUGAAGGAGAGGGUUGAAUCACAGCUUGCAGAACUAGGUUGUGACAUCCCAGAGAUUGUGAGGUGGCUAGCAGAUGAACCAAGCAAUGAAGUCCCGAAGUUUAGUGGUUAUCAAAUAGGGGGG